RNAcentral lists this ribosomal RNA (521 nucleotides) under uncultured bacterium. Its description in RNAcentral is "bacterial SSU rRNA". It matches the Rfam family "Archaeal small subunit ribosomal RNA", at positions 345 to 866 of the family's 1478-position model. The record is from RNAcentral.
AACCUCCGCAAUGUACGAAAGUGCGACGGGGGGAUCCCAAGUGUUAUGCUUUUUUGUAUAACUUUUCAUUAGUGUAAAAAGCUUUUAGAAUAAGGGCUGGGCAAGACCGGUGCCAGCCGCCGCGGUAACACCGGCAGCUCUAGUGGUAGCAGUUUUUAUUGGGCCUAAAGCGUCCGUAGCCGGUUUAAUAAGUCUCUGGUGAAAUCCUGUAGCUUAACUGUGGGAAUUGCUGGAGAUACUAUUAGACUUGAGACCGGGAGAGGUUAGAGGUACUCCCAGGGUAGAGGUGAAAUUCUGUAAUCCUGGGAGGACCGCCUGUUGCGAAGGCGUCUAACUGGAACGGUUCUGACGGUGAGGGACGAAAGUUAGGGGCGCGAACCGGAUUAGAUACCCGGGUAGUCCUAACUGUAAACGAUGCGGACUUGGUGUUGGGGUGGCUUUGAGCUGUUCCAGUGCCGAAGGGAAGCUGUUAAGUCCGCCGCCUGGGAAGUACGGUCGCAAGACUGAAACUUAAAGGAAUU